Long non-coding RNA from Diabrotica virgifera virgifera (western corn rootworm), 1080 nucleotides. RefSeq lists it as uncharacterized. The record is from RefSeq and is a predicted model, not a curated record. NCBI's taxonomy places the organism in Eukaryota, Metazoa, Arthropoda, Insecta, Coleoptera, Chrysomelidae. The transcript is spliced from 3 exons.
UCCCUAACAACACACAACAUUCCAGGAAUGUACUACCAAAGUUCUAUCAAUAUUUGAAUGUCCUGGACAUUUAGGGAACAUUCGGUGAACAUCUGUUUAAAUUAUUCCUGGAAUGUUACCAUAAGACAUUCUGUGAACAUACUACCAAUGUUCCUAUAUUUUAAGUUGCGAAAUAAUACAUACGUGUAAGAGAUACAACAUUACUUAUAACAUACCAGACAAACUAAGUGACAUUUUAGGCCUACAGUGCAAUAAUAUGUCAAAUUUAAAGAGUUUCCCAAGAUUAUAAACAUACAAAUGUAAUAAAAAUUAUUGUUCGCGAAUAUUCAAUUUGGAAUGCGAUUUUGUUAAUAAAAAAAUACUUAUAACUUAUGCAAAACCCAAGAGAGGCAUUUAUAUUUAUUUCUUUUGCGUUCAUUUUCAAAUUCGCCGUGCAUAUAUUUUUGUGCAUGGCGCUUGAGAGGGCAUCACGUGACUAAAAACGACCAACCAACGACCUCGCUUCGGCCAUCUUGGCAUCUUCAUCUUGGCGACCUUGCCUUGCCGUGGAUUGUUUUUAGUUGUUUGUAUUAUUUGUGCUUUUUAAGAAUAUUUUUUUAAUUCGGAUACUUUUAUAAUAGCUUUAAUAGUAUUAUUAACAUAGUGCAUAAAAUGGUGUCCUGUUUUUAACGCAGUUGGAGUAGCAGAAACAAAUGUAGAUAAAAAAAUCUGCAGGAAUAACGUUUCAAUUAUGACAGAAGCUCAAACAAAUGACUGUGAAUGAAAAGCCCUAUUAAAAGCUUUCCAGAAGAUCCUGCGAAGAAGACAUGAAGUAUAGAUCAGAUUUGUUAAUAGAGGAGUAUGUUCAAAACACUUUUUAGAAAAAGAUAUUGACAGAACUUCACUUUCAUCUGUUCGUUUGAGAGACUGUGCUGUUCCAAUAGCUUAUGUCACACAGAAUCAGCUGAGAGAAGUGGUCUACAAAAAACCAGAAAGGAAACGGAAUAUGUGGCUACGAAAAGCAAAAGAAAGGUUUACAAAGCAAAUGUGACACAUUUUUUUAUAAUAUUUAGGAAUGUCAGCAAAUUACAUUAAAAAAUG